RNAcentral lists this ribosomal RNA (253 nucleotides) under uncultured bacterium. RNAcentral's name for it is "partial 16S ribosomal RNA". It matches the Rfam family "Bacterial small subunit ribosomal RNA", at positions 524 to 776 of the family's 1533-position model. The record is from RNAcentral.
UACGUAGGGGGCAAGCGUUGUCCGGAUUUACUGGGCGUAAAGAGCGUGUAGGCGGCCAAGCAGGUCCGUUGUGAAAACUGGAGGCUUAACCUCCAGACGUCGACGGAAACCGCGUGGCUAGAGUCCGGAAGAGGAGAGUGGAAUUCCUGGUGUAGCGGUGAAAUGCGCAGAUAUCAGGAAGAACACCAAUGGCGAAGGCAGCUCUCUGGGACGGUACUGACGCUGAGACGCGAAAGCGUGGGGAGCGAACGGG